Molecule: unclassified non-coding RNA, 353 nt
Filed under: soil metagenome
Description: partial contains 5.8S ribosomal RNA, internal transcribed spacer 2, and large subunit ribosomal RNA
Rfam family: 5.8S ribosomal RNA (bases 1-120)
Source: RNAcentral
GAUGAAGAACGCAGUGAAAUGCGAUAAGUAAUGUGAAUUGCAGAAUUCAGUGAAUCAUCGAAUCUUUGAACGCACAUUGCGCCCGCCAGUAUACUGGCGGGCAUGCCUGUUCGAGCGUCAUUACAACCCUCAGGCCCCCGGGCCUGGCGUUGGGGAUCGGCGGAAGCCCCCUGCGGGCACAACGCCGUCCCCCAAAUACAGUGGCGGUCCCGCCGCAGCUUCCAUUGCGUAGUAGCUAACACCUCGCAACUGGAGAGCGGCGCGGCCACGCCGUAAAACACCCAACUUCUGAAUGUUGACCUCGAAUCAGGUAGGAAUACCCGCUGAACUUAAGCAUAUCAAUAAGCGGAGGA